GAUGAACGCUGGCGGCGUGCCUAAUACAUGCAAGUCGAACGCACAGCGAAAGGUGCUUGCACCUUUCAAGUGAGUGGCGAACGGGUGAGUAACACGUAGACAACCUGCCUCAAGGCUGGGGAUAACAUUUGGAAACAGAUGCUAAUACCGAAUAAAACUCAGUGUCGCAUGACACAAAGUUAAAAGGCGCUUUGGCGUCACCUAGAGAUGGAUCCGCGGUGCAUUAGUUAGUUGGUGGGGUAAAGGCCUACCAAGACAAUGAUACAUAGCCGAGUUGAGAGACUGAUCGGCCACAUUGGGACUGAGACACGGCCCAAACUCCUACGGGAGGCUGCAGUAGGGAAUCUUCCACAAUGGGCGAAAGCCUGAUGGAGCAACACCGCGUGUGUGAUGAAGGCUUUCGGGUCGUAAAGCACUGUUGUAUGGGAAGAACAGCUAGAAUAGGGAAUGAUUUUAGUUUGACGGUACCAUACCAGAAAGGGACGGCUAAAUACGUGCCAGCCGCCGCCGUAA
RNAcentral lists this ribosomal RNA (513 nucleotides) under uncultured bacterium. Its description in RNAcentral is "partial 16S ribosomal RNA". It matches the Rfam family "Bacterial small subunit ribosomal RNA", at positions 28 to 523 of the family's 1533-position model. The record is from RNAcentral.